RNA transcript from Zea mays, 4359 nucleotides. RefSeq lists it as uncharacterized. The transcript is spliced from 2 exons. Lineage: Eukaryota; Viridiplantae; Streptophyta; Magnoliopsida; Poales; Poaceae. The record is from RefSeq and is a predicted model, not a curated record.
UUGUGGCCAAGUUUAGUAAAAGUUUUAGAAGUCCUAAUUCACCCCCCCCCCCUCUUAGGCGUCACCCGUUUCCUUCAUAUCUUCAAGUCUUUUUAAAACUAAUUUGCUAAACUAUUAUUUAGAUUAAUUCAAAUAAAAAAUGUCGAUAUCUUUCUACUCUUUGAGUAGCUUUUCUACAUCUUCGUUGUUAACAUCAUUGUCCAUCUUUUGCUAGCGAAAAAACCAAAAUAGAGUAAGGUUAUAUUUAGAUUUCUAAUUAGAUAAGUUGAUAGAGGAUUUUUUUCAACUAAAAUCUAUGUUUCUAACAAUUAUAAAGGAUAUAAGAAUCAUGUGUUUGCAAUUUUCUCUCUAUUUUCUGCCCUCCUAAAAGUAUACAUUGUUCUUUCAUUGUAUGAUUUGGAUAUUGCGAGAGAAAGAUAGUUAUGUUGAAGGAUGUCAUCAUGGUAUAAGCCUUUUAUCAAUUUGUAAAAUGCUAUUAUUAUAUUUAUGUAGGUCAUAUUGCUUUGAUGCAUGAAAAACUUAGAAAGUUUUGUUUUAUUUUCUUUCCAAAAUAGUUAUUUACAUGUGAAUAAGUGAACAUAAUAGUCACUUACGUUCAAUUUGCAUAUGAACAUUACCUUAUGCCCCGAGAGGCAUUAUAUGUUUUUUACACAACCUAUAAUUUAUAGCUACUCUAAGGGCAUGUAUAAUGAAGAUACACUGGAAUGGUUUUCCAAGUGUAACAAACAACUAAUAGACUCUACCAUAUAAUGAAGUUUCUAUAAGUGCAGUCUUAAUUGAGUGUGUAUCCAUAUACAUGUUGUCUUUCAAAAUUAUACCACUUACAUUAAAUAUAUCAUAUGAUAUAUCAUAUUGAAGGUAAUUUUUUGACUAUAUCACAGUUGAGCUUGAAAUUGGUGAUCCUAUCAAUAAAAUAUAUGUUCAAUUAAAUCAUACUUAAGCGCGAUAUGCUUUGAGUUAUCCCAUAUUUUGGUGGUCGAGCUCAACGUUGUAAAGGCAGACCGACGGUCGUUGGUGUUCCCUUCUUCAUGGUUGCUGUCGUUUAGUAGAGCCAAAAGGAAGUGAGAUUUCAAGGAGCAUUUUAUGGUGAAUAGGAGGGAGGAACACGCACCGAUUGAUUUCAUGCCAUGAAGCACACCACCAGACAAGCAAUCGACAAGGCGAUGUGUGCAAUGGGGCAAGCUUUCAUUCCAACUAGGGGAAUAAUCCAAAGACGUCUCUCCAAUAGGAGGAGGUGCGAUUCAAGCUAGGGGAAGAGGCCAGAGACGUCUCUUCGUGAAGCAGUGGCUGCAAAGAAUCAUCACAAAGAGAGCCAAAAAGAAGUAAAGUAGUUUGGAUCAAAAGAGCCAAAGUUGGGUCAGACUCGGCAUCACCGGACAGUCCGGUGUGCACCGCAUAUGUUCGGUGCUGGCCUGGUCGGCUGACCCCAACUAGCCGCUCUUGGGUUUUUCUUGGGCGCACUGGAUAUAAUUCACUGGAUAGUCUGGUGUGCACCGGACAUGUCCGGUAGGCUACGCGGCCAACGGCUCUUCGCUCGCAUCAAUGGUCGGCCGCGUGAUCGACGCCAGCCACGUCAGCACGCCAGCGGUCAGGAGGGUCACGUACAUGUUUGGUGUGCCACCGGACAGUCCUGUGCCCACCCGAAAAGGAAGGUGGCCAAUCAGACGAUUCGGUGGUCGUUGCAGACAGAGUGUCUGGUGUGCCACCGGACAGUUCGGUGCACCCAUGGAUAGAAGCCAAUAUGCGCUUUCCAAAGAAAGGAGCAAUGACUCCUUGGCCCCUUGAGGCUAUAAAAGAUGCCCCUAGGCGCCUCAACCAGCACACCAAGCAUUCUAAGAGCACACUACAACUCCGAGACUCUGCAACAAUGCCUUCGAAGUGUUUGAGAGAGAUUUGGGCGCUUUUUGAGUCGUUACUCUAUCAUUUUGUUGUUGCACUCUCUUCUUUGCAUUUGUGCGUGUUGUUGUUGCGCUGUGCUCUUGUGUGCGUACUCUACUCCCUCCCUUACUCUAAUUUGGAUUGUGAUCGUCUUGUGUAAGGUAUGAGAGGCUCCAAAUUGUGGAGAUUCCUCACAAAAUGAUAUUCAUGAUAUAAGGAAGAACUGUGGUACUCAAGUUUGAUCUUCGGAUCACUUGAGAGGGGUUGAGUGCAACCCUCAUCCAUUGGGAUGCACGCUUGACCGAACCACGGGAUAAAAAUUGUCGUGUCUCUGGUCUCUUUACUUUACUGCAAUUUGAGUCUUCGUUUGAGGUUAUACUUCACUUUCAUAUUGCUCCUAGUUUAAUUCACAUCUCAAGAGAGCAAUGAAGUGGAGAGUCUUUCUUUCUCUCCUAUACUCUCAAACUUGGUUUUAUUUCCUCUAAUUCAUAUUAUAGACCAAGUUUGUGUUGUUUUGAGCGAAAUUUGUAGGAUCGCCUAUUCAACCCCUCCUCUGGGUGCUCUCACCUGCACCUCACCCAUUCAUCUCCCAUAAGAUGAUAUUGGUGAUCGCGUGCUUUUCCAAGGCGGUCUCCAGCAGAUCUUGUAUAUGGUCGUGUAAAACAUCGGUUUGCAUUGUAGAAUAUAUUGUUCACAUAAUUAAGUUUGGAAUAGGAUAUGUGAUGGAAUGUAAGAUGAGCAAGCUGCUGAAGACCGCCUAAAUAUUGGGAAAGAUGUUACAACAAUACUCCAAAAACAUCCUCGAUAUAUAGAACCCUCUUAUUAGAUAUUAAUAUUUUUCCUUUCCUUUUUCUCCAACGGUCUUCCUUCUCCAACCACGUACUCCUCUGUCCUUUGUGUGGUCUCAGUCGCAUAGGAAUAGGAUAGUCAGGAUCUUGGGCCCGACUCUAGUGUAGCACGGAUAUCUGGCGACCAUCACAGAGCGAGCAUUGACGACCAACCAAGUCUCCCUAAGGUGUAGAUCAAGCAUCACAUUGUGGCUAUGGGGACAACAAGGUCAUGAACUGGUGACGUCCUCAAUAGCAAGGGCCAGCCACGUCGGGUUGUUGUGAGUAUCUAGGCCUCUAAGUAGUGUUUUGGUAAUUAAUGACAAUUAUGUGUGGACUAACUAUUUCUUAGAGAAAAUAAGAAUGCAAGUUGAUCCAUGCACAUGUGAGCAACAUAAAGUCUUGAAGGACUUUGAUGGAAACCGUUGGAUAACUCAAUGCAAAGGUAAACGAUAGAUUUUUCGCUUUGCCGAUCAAGAUGGGAUUAAAGAAGCUUAUUGACCAAGUUAGUAGGCUAAAUAGUCAUACUAUCAAGAGGGGUCAAUGAUGUUUUCUUGACAGGUUCUUAAGUGCCUCAUAAGCUCAUAUAGUUUAUGCAUUUGCAUAAGGGCCGACGGUGCUUUCAAUUGUGAAAGAAAAACCUAUUCAAAAGCGGAUUCUGAAAAGGGAGCUAAAUUGGGUAUUGUGGAUCGUCCGUUCCAGGUGGUCGGACCAUCUGCGGGGCUAACGGAGAUGUGUGCAAAAAUGUUGAGUUUUUGUGUGGUGCGUAGUCUUUGUAGUACAGAUCGUUCGUGAUUUCGGGCGGACCAUCUACAGUAGAGGUCAAAGGAGCCUCCGAGUUUGGCUAUGUCCCUGGUAGGUUUUAUAUGCCUAUUGUGGACCGUCCGGCCGGGGGACGCAGACGGUCUGCAAUACCUUUGAUGGAUUUGCGUAGGGACUAUGUGACUUUUGGGUGGUGGUUUGAUGACAGCUCGUGCCUAGGUCAAAGUCAAUCCACUUUCCUAGGUGAUGGAUCGUCCGUGCCUAGGUGCCGGACUGUUCAUGAGUAUGCAAAGCCAGGGUUCUAGGUUUCUAUGUGCCUCAAGGUCGUGGUUGGUGGACCGUCCGCGCGUCACUUUAUCUAACAACUUUGACAAGUUUCUAAAUAAAAAGUAGUUAUAUGUAUGGGCAGAAAAGGGACAUGUGGCCCAUAACGACUAGUUGGUUGGAGAUGUGCUAUAAAUAGUUGGUGUGUGUGUGUUGAACAUCCCUCUUGGCUAUUUGAACCAUGUAUUGAGCACAUUCAAGCCUUCCAAUCUAUCCCACUCACACACAUUGCUAGAGAUUGCAUUCUAGUGAGUUGGAGAGAGCUCUAGUGCAUUGCAUCACAUUGUUGAUUCUUGAGGCACUAGAAAGUUCAUCAAGCAAUCGUCAUCGACUUGUUACUUUUGAAGGUAUGAUUGUGAGAGGUCAUGGUGGUGAUUGUGAGAGGCUUGUGCUUGUCUCACUAGAGCGGUGAAAAGUGACACCGGUGGAAUUGACGUAUGAGUGAUUCUUUGAUCAUCGGACUCAACCGCUCAAGAGAUCAUGCAAAGCAUAGUCUUUAAUAGAGAAACAGUUGAUAAGCUAGCAUAGUAUUAUUCUUAACUGUUUUCAACAAAAUUCAAUUAAUAUC